This 2906-nucleotide ribosomal RNA is filed under the name Escherichia coli. Its description in RNAcentral is "23S ribosomal RNA". It matches the Rfam family "Bacterial large subunit ribosomal RNA". The record is from RNAcentral. Lineage: Bacteria; Pseudomonadati; Pseudomonadota; Gammaproteobacteria; Enterobacterales; Enterobacteriaceae.
GGUUAAGCGACUAAGCGUACACGGUGGAUGCCCUGGCAGUCAGAGGCGAUGAAGGACGUGCUAAUCUGCGAUAAGCGUCGGUAAGGUGAUAUGAACCGUUAUAACCGGCGAUUUCCGAAUGGGGAAACCCAGUGUGUUUCGACACACUAUCAUUAACUGAAUCCAUAGGUUAAUGAGGCGAACCGGGGGAACUGAAACAUCUAAGUACCCCGAGGAAAAGAAAUCAACCGAGAUUCCCCCAGUAGCGGCGAGCGAACGGGGAGCAGCCCAGAGCCUGAAUCAGUGUGUGUGUUAGUGGAAGCGUCUGGAAAGGCGCGCGAUACAGGGUGACAGCCCCGUACACAAAAAUGCACAUACUGUGAGCUCGAUGAGUAGGGCGGGACACGUGGUAUCCUGUCUGAAUAUGGGGGGACCAUCCUCCAAGGCUAAAUACUCCUGACUGACCGAUAGUGAACCAGUACCGUGAGGGAAAGGCGAAAAGAACCCCGGCGAGGGGAGUGAAAAAGAACCUGAAACCGUGUACGUACAAGCAGUGGGAGCACGCUUAGGCGUGUGACUGCGUACCUUUUGUAUAAUGGGUCAGCGACUUAUAUUCUGUAGCAAGGUUAACCGAAUAGGGGAGCCGAAGGGAAACCGAGUCUUAACUGGGCGUUAAGUUGCAGGGUAUAGACCCGAAACCCGGUGAUCUAGCCAUGGGCAGGUUGAAGGUUGGGUAACACUAACUGGAGGACCGAACCGACUAAUGUUGAAAAAUUAGCGGAUGACUUGUGGCUGGGGGUGAAAGGCCAAUCAAACCGGGAGAUAGCUGGUUCUCCCCGAAAGCUAUUUAGGUAGCGCCUCGUGAAUUCAUCUCCGGGGGUAGAGCACUGUUUCGGCAAGGGGGUCAUCCCGACUUACCAACCCGAUGCAAACUGCGAAUACCGGAGAAUGUUAUCACGGGAGACACACGGCGGGUGCUAACGUCCGUCGUGAAGAGGGAAACAACCCAGACCGCCAGCUAAGGUCCCAAAGUCAUGGUUAAGUGGGAAACGAUGUGGGAAGGCCCAGACAGCCAGGAUGUUGGCUUAGAAGCAGCCAUCAUUUAAAGAAAGCGUAAUAGCUCACUGGUCGAGUCGGCCUGCGCGGAAGAUGUAACGGGGCUAAACCAUGCACCGAAGCUGCGGCAGCGACGCUUAUGCGUUGUUGGGUAGGGGAGCGUUCUGUAAGCCUGCGAAGGUGUGCUGUGAGGCAUGCUGGAGGUAUCAGAAGUGCGAAUGCUGACAUAAGUAACGAUAAAGCGGGUGAAAAGCCCGCUCGCCGGAAGACCAAGGGUUCCUGUCCAACGUUAAUCGGGGCAGGGUGAGUCGACCCCUAAGGCGAGGCCGAAAGGCGUAGUCGAUGGGAAACAGGUUAAUAUUCCUGUACUUGGUGUUACUGCGAAGGGGGGACGGAGAAGGCUAUGUUGGCCGGGCGACGGUUGUCCCGGUUUAAGCGUGUAGGCUGGUUUUCCAGGCAAAUCCGGAAAAUCAAGGCUGAGGCGUGAUGACGAGGCACUACGGUGCUGAAGCAACAAAUGCCCUGCUUCCAGGAAAAGCCUCUAAGCAUCAGGUAACAUCAAAUCGUACCCCAAACCGACACAGGUGGUCAGGUAGAGAAUACCAAGGCGCUUGAGAGAACUCGGGUGAAGGAACUAGGCAAAAUGGUGCCGUAACUUCGGGAGAAGGCACGCUGAUAUGUAGGUGAAGUCCCUCGCGGAUGGAGCUGAAAUCAGUCGAAGAUACCAGCUGGCUGCAACUGUUUAUUAAAAACACAGCACUGUGCAAACACGAAAGUGGACGUAUACGGUGUGACGCCUGCCCGGUGCCGGAAGGUUAAUUGAUGGGGUUAGCCGCAAGGCGAAGCUCUUGAUCGAAGCCCCGGUAAACGGCGGCCGUAACUAUAACGGUCCUAAGGUAGCGAAAUUCCUUGUCGGGUAAGUUCCGACCUGCACGAAUGGCGUAAUGAUGGCCAGGCUGUCUCCACCCGAGACUCAGUGAAAUUGAACUCGCUGUGAAGAUGCAGUGUACCCGCGGCAAGACGGAAAGACCCCGUGAACCUUUACUAUAGCUUGACACUGAACAUUGAGCCUUGAUGUGUAGGAUAGGUGGGAGGCUUAGAAGUGUGGACGCCAGUCUGCAUGGAGCCGACCUUGAAAUACCACCCUUUAAUGUUUGAUGUUCUAACGUUGACCCGUAAUCCGGGUUGCGGACAGUGUCUGGUGGGUAGUUUGACUGGGGCGGUCUCCUCCUAAAGAGUAACGGAGGAGCACGAAGGUUGGCUAAUCCUGGUCGGACAUCAGGAGGUUAGUGCAAUGGCAUAAGCCAGCUUGACUGCGAGCGUGACGGCGCGAGCAGGUGCGAAAGCAGGUCAUAGUGAUCCGGUGGUUCUGAAUGGAAGGGCCAUCGCUCAACGGAUAAAAGGUACUCCGGGGAUAACAGGCUGAUACCGCCCAAGAGUUCAUAUCGACGGCGGUGUUUGGCACCUCGAUGUCGGCUCAUCACAUCCUGGGGCUGAAGUAGGUCCCAAGGGUAUGGCUGUUCGCCAUUUAAAGUGGUACGCGAGCUGGGUUUAGAACGUCGUGAGACAGUUCGGUCCCUAUCUGCCGUGGGCGCUGGAGAACUGAGGGGGGCUGCUCCUAGUACGAGAGGACCGGAGUGGACGCAUCACUGGUGUUCGGGUUGUCAUGCCAAUGGCACUGCCCGGUAGCUAAAUGCGGAAGAGAUAAGUGCUGAAAGCAUCUAAGCACGAAACUUGCCCCGAGAUGAGUUCUCCCUGACCCUUUAAGGGUCCUGAAGGAACGUUGAAGACGACGACGUUGAUAGGCCGGGUGUGUAAGCGCAGCGAUGCGUUGAGCUAACCGGUACUAAUGAACCGUGAGGCUUAACCUU